AUACAGAGGGUGCAAGCGUUAUUCGGAAUUACUGGGCGUAAAGCGCGCGUAGGCGGAUGAUUAAGUCAGUUGUGAAAGCCCUGGGCUCAACCUAGGAACUGCAUCUGAUACUGGUCGUCUAGAGUUUAAGAGAGGGAAGUGGAAUUCCAGGUGUAGCAGUGAAAUGCGUAGAUAUCUGGAGGAACAUCAGUGGCGAAGGCGACUUCCUGGCUUAAAACUGACGCUGAGGUGCGAAAGCGUGGGUAGCAAACAGGAUUAGAAACCCUAGUAGUCC
This 274-nucleotide ribosomal RNA is filed under the name uncultured bacterium. RNAcentral's name for it is "partial 16S ribosomal RNA". It matches the Rfam family "Bacterial small subunit ribosomal RNA", at positions 523 to 796 of the family's 1533-position model. The record is from RNAcentral.